Non-coding RNA from Callorhinchus milii (elephant shark), 77 nucleotides. Lineage: Eukaryota; Metazoa; Chordata; Chondrichthyes; Chimaeriformes; Callorhinchidae. The record is from the annotation of a RefSeq genome assembly.
GUUCUGUAGCUCAGUGGUUAGAGCACUCGCCCCAUGAGCGGGAGGACCUGGGUUCAAUUCCCGGGCAGGAAGAAACA